RNAcentral lists this ribosomal RNA (319 nucleotides) under Saccharomyces cerevisiae (brewer's yeast). Its description in RNAcentral is "eukaryotic LSU rRNA". It matches the Rfam family "Eukaryotic large subunit ribosomal RNA", at positions 302 to 637 of the family's 3401-position model. Lineage: Eukaryota; Fungi; Ascomycota; Saccharomycetes; Saccharomycetales; Saccharomycetaceae. The record is from RNAcentral.
AAUUCCAUCUNAAGCUNAAUAUUGGCGAGAGACCGAUAGCGAACAAGUACAGUWAUGGAAAGAUGAAAAGAACUUUGAAAAGAGAGUGAAAAAGUACGUGAAAUUGUUGAAAGGGAAGGGCAUUUGAUCAGACAUGGUGUUUUGUGCCCUCUGCUCCUUGUGGGUAGGGGAAUCUCGCAUUUCACUGGGCCAGCAUCAGUUUUGGUGGCAGGAUAAAUCCAUAGGAAUGUAGCUUGCCUCGGUAAGUAUUAUAGCCUGUGGGAAUACUGCNAGCUGGGACUGAGGACUGCGACGUAAGUCAAGGAUGCUGGCAUAAUGG